AACAAGGCGUACCUGCGGACCUGCGGAAGGAUCAUUACCGAGUUAUACAACUCAUCAACCCCUGUGAACUUACCUACAACGUUGCUUCGGCGGGAACAGACGGCCCCGUAAAACGGGCCGCCCCCGCCAGAGGACCCCUAACUCUGUUUUUAUAAUGUUUUUCUGAGUAAACAAGCAAAUAAAUUAAAACUUUUAACAACGGAUCU
This 206-nucleotide unclassified non-coding RNA is filed under the name soil metagenome. RNAcentral describes it as "partial contains 5.8S ribosomal RNA, internal transcribed spacer 2, and large subunit ribosomal RNA". The record is from RNAcentral.